This 307-nucleotide long non-coding RNA is filed under the name Monodelphis domestica (gray short-tailed opossum). Its description in RNAcentral is "lncRNA (ENSMODG00000034459.2)". The record is from RNAcentral. Lineage: Eukaryota; Metazoa; Chordata; Mammalia; Didelphimorphia; Didelphidae.
UUCCUCUCUUGGGUUCUCUUUUCACGGAGAGGUGGCUAGUGGGAACAUGCUGGGCAUCUUGGCAUCUUGGUGUUGGCUACAUCUAUUGUCUGGGUUUGUCGGAUGGAUUUGAUGAAAGCUCAAGAGAAGAGAGAUCUUGGAUUCUAGUUUCAAGAGAGAAGACAUGCAGUUUCAUACUUCAAGUUCCUGAAGGGAGAGGAAGACUGGAGAAAAGGUCAACAUGAGGAGAAGUCAUGAAAUUUUCCCUAUGCCCAGUUUAUCACAUUAAAGACUUUAGGAAAUUAUCCUUGAAAUUGUCUUGGUUGAA